UGGGGAAUUUUGGGCAAUGGGCGAAAGCCUGAUCCAGCAAUGCCGCGUGUGUGAAGAAGGCCUUCGGGUUGUAAAGCACUUUUGUCCGGAAAGAAAUCCUUGGCUCUAAUACAGUCGGGGGAUGACGGUACCGGAAGAAUAAGCACCGGCUAACUACGUGCCAGCAGCCGCGGUAAUACGUAGGGUGCAAGCGUUAAUCGGAAUUACUGGGCGUAAAGCGUGCGCAGGCGGUUUGCUAAGACCGAUGUGAAAUCCCCGGGCUCAACCUGGGAACUGCAUUGGUGACUGGCAGGCUAGAGUAUGGCAGAGGGGGGUAGAAUUCCACGUGUAGCAGUGAAAUGCGUAGAGAUGUGGAGGAAUACCGAUGGCGAAGGCAGCCCCCUGGGCCAAUACUGACGCUCAUGCACGAAAGCGUGGGGAGCAAACAGGAUUAGAUACCCUGGUAGUCCACGCCCUAAACGAUGUCAACUAGUUGUUGGGGAUUCAUUUCCUUAGUAACGUAGCUAACGCGUGAAGUUGACCGCCUGGGGAGUACGGUCGCAAGAUUAAAACUUAAAGGAAUUGACGGGGUCAUAGCUGUUUCCU
Molecule: ribosomal RNA, 585 nt
Filed under: uncultured bacterium
Lineage: Bacteria
Description: partial 16S ribosomal RNA
Rfam family: Bacterial small subunit ribosomal RNA
Source: RNAcentral